RNAcentral lists this ribosomal RNA (478 nucleotides) under uncultured bacterium. Its description in RNAcentral is "partial 16S ribosomal RNA". It matches the Rfam family "Bacterial small subunit ribosomal RNA", at positions 29 to 507 of the family's 1533-position model. The record is from RNAcentral.
ACGAACGCUGGCGGCGUGCUUAACACAUGCAAGUCGCACGAAGCUUGCUUACGGAUUCUUCGGAUGAAGUAUGAUAUGACUGAGUGGCGGACGGGUGAGUAACGCGUGAGUAACCUGCCCUUCAGAGGGGGAUAGCGUUUGGAAACGAACGGUAAUACCGCAUAAUGUAUUUUGACCGCAUGAUCGAAAUACCAAAGAUUUAUCGCUGAAGGAUGGACUCGCGUCUGAUUAGGUAGUUGGUGGGGUAACGGCCUACCAAGCCGACGAUCAGUAGCCGGACUGAGAGGUUGAUCGGCCACAUUGGGACUGAGACACGGCCCAGACUCCUACGGGAGGCAGCAGUGGGGAAUAUUGCACAAUGGGCGCAAGCCUGAUGCAGCAACGCCGCGUGAAGGAAGACGGUUUUCGGAUUGUAAACUUCUGUUCUUAGUGAAGAAUAAUGACGGUAGCUAAGGAGCAAGCCACGGCUAACUACGUG